This 229-nucleotide unclassified non-coding RNA is filed under the name plant metagenome. Its description in RNAcentral is "partial contains small subunit ribosomal RNA, internal transcribed spacer 1, and 5.8S ribosomal RNA". The record is from RNAcentral.
UCUCCGUAGGUGAACCUGCGGAGGGAUCAUUACAGAGUUCAUGCCCUACCGGGUAGAUCUCCCACCCUAUGUUAUUAUUACUUUGUUGCUUUGGCGGGCCGUUAGGCUCCGGCCCGACUACCGGCCCCGGCUGGUAAGCGCCCGCCAGAGGACCCAAAACCCUGAAUAUUAGUGUCGUCUGAGUCCUAUAUAAUAGUUAAAACUUUCAACAACGGAUCUCUUGGUUCUG